Molecule: long non-coding RNA, 452 nt
Organism: Saccostrea cuccullata (small rock oyster)
Lineage: Eukaryota; Metazoa; Mollusca; Bivalvia; Ostreida; Ostreidae
Exons: 2
Source: RefSeq, a predicted model, not a curated record
CAACCCCUGAUAUAUGUCACGUUCAAGGAGAAUAAUGAUUUAGAAAUUUGAAGUCACGAUAACUCCAAUUCAUAUUAAUUACAUUUUACAGGUAUGGAACCAGCUGUUCUUUUAAAAUACUUCCAAGCUAUACAUGUCUUUGGCGGCAUCUUGUUAAAUUAUUUAAUGAGGUAAUUAUAACUUGGGUCUUCAAAACUUGUAUAACUUGCUGGUUAUCAAAGCUAUCAAUUAAGUGUGAAAACCAAUCAAUAGUAUUAGUGAAACCAUAGUUCAUUAAGUCUAACGGUAAGAAAUUAGAGAAAUGUUUAUUUGUACGCUUAUAAACAAAUUCACAUUUUAUUUUUUAGUUAUUUACCAUAUAAGAUGUAUUUUGUCCGAGUAACCGAAUAGCAAUUUUACUUACCGAUACUCGCAUCGAUCGACGGUUAACCGGGUACUCGUUGCCAACACUA